AAUGCAUAGAAAUCUGCCCGGUAGUGGGGGAUAACCUGGGGAAACCCAGGCUAAUACCGCAUACGUCCUACGGGAGAAAGCAGGGGAUCUUCGGACCUUGCGCUAUCGGAUGAGUCUAUGUCGGAUUAGCUUGUUGGUGAGGUAAUGGCUCACCAAGGCGACGAUCCGUAGCUGGUCUGAGAGGAUGAUCAGCCACAUCGGGACUGAGACACGGCCCGAACUCCUACGGGAGGCAGCAGUGGGGAAUAUUGGACAAUGGGCGAAAGCCUGAUCCAGCCAUGCCGCGUGUGUGAAGAAGGCCUUCGGGUUGUAAAGCACUUUCAGUGGGGAAGAAAGCCUUGGGGCUAAUACCCUCGAGGAAGGACAUCACCCACAGAAGAAGCACCGGCUAACUCCGUGCCAGCAGCCGCGGUAAUACGGAGGGUGCGAGCGUUAAUCGGAAUUACUGGGCGUAAAGCGCGCGUAGGCGGUCUGAUAAGCCGGUUGUGAAAGCCCCGGGCUCAACCUGGGAACGGCAUCCGGAACUGUCAGGCUAGAGUGCAGGAGAGGAAGGUAGAAUUCCCGGUGUAGCGGUGAAAUGCGUAGAGAUCGGGAGGAAUACCAGUGGCGAAGGCGGCCUUCUGGACUGACACUGACGCUGAGGUGCGAAAGCGUGGGUAGCAAACAGGAUUAGAUACCCUGGUAGUCACGCCGUAAACGAUGUCGACUAGCCGUUGGGCUCCUUGAGAGCUUUGUGGCGCAGUUAACGCGAUAAGUCGACCGCCUGGGGAGUACGGCCGCAAGGUUAAAACUCAAAUGAAUUGACGGGGGCCCGCACAAGCGGUGGAGCAUGUGGUUUAAUUCGAUGCAACGCGAAGAACCUUACCUACCCUUGACAUCGUGCGAACUUUCCAGAGAUGGAUUGGUGCCUUCGGGAACGCACAGACAGGUGCUGCAUGGCUGUCGUCAGCUCGUGUUGUGAAAUGUUGGGUUAAGUCCCGUAACGAGCGCAACCCUUGUCCUUAUUUGCCAGCGAGUAAUGUCGGGAACUCUAAGGAGACUGCCGGUGACAAACCGGAGGAAGGUGGGGACGACGUCAAGUCAUCAUGGCCCUUACGGGUAGGGCUACACACGUGCUACAAUGGCCGGUACAAAGGGUUGCGAAGCCGCGAGGUGGAGCUAAUCCCGAAAAGCUGGUCUCAGUCCGGAUCGGAGUCUGCAACUCGACUCCGUGAAGUCGGAAUCGCUAGUAAUCGUGAAUCAGAAUGUCACGGUGAAUACGUUCCCGGGCCUUGUACAC
This 1279-nucleotide ribosomal RNA is filed under the name Halomonas sp. RNAcentral describes it as "bacterial SSU rRNA". It matches the Rfam family "Bacterial small subunit ribosomal RNA", at positions 112 to 1388 of the family's 1533-position model. Lineage: Bacteria; Pseudomonadati; Pseudomonadota; Gammaproteobacteria; Oceanospirillales; Halomonadaceae. The record is from RNAcentral.